Molecule: long non-coding RNA, 287 nt
Filed under: Prunus persica (peach)
Lineage: Eukaryota; Viridiplantae; Streptophyta; Magnoliopsida; Rosales; Rosaceae
Description: long non-coding RNA (PPER_LNC005560)
Source: RNAcentral
AAAAUCAUUAUCAGGAGGAUACACAUUUAACGAUAACCCUAAAUCAUUAUUGCCAACAUAAUAUAACGCUCUUGAGCAAGUGAACAAAUAUUACAAGGUUUUCAAAAAGUGAGAGAAAAAAAAAACAAAUAUUACAAGGUAACAACCCACUGCCACUAUAUAUAAUAACAAGCAACUACUUUGAGUGAUACCUAAGACCCAAUACCCAGCCCCAGCACCACAACAGAUAGGUGUUAUCUUCUUGCACAUACAAGUCAAGACUCUUGGGGUGCCUCAAAUCUUGUUGG